CCAAUAGCGUAUAUUAAAGUUGUUGCAGUUAAAAAGCUCGUAGUUGAAUUUCGGGAUCAAGGAAUCGGUCAUGCCUCGGUAUGUACUGGUUUUAUUGGUUCUCACCUUCUAAAGAACCAUAAUGUCAUUUAUUUGAUGUUAUGGGGAAUUAGGACUGUUACCUUGAAAAAAUUAGAGUGUUUAAAGCAGGCGCACGCUUGAAUACAUUAGCAUGGAAUAAUGAAAUAGGACGUUUGAUUCUAUUUUGUUGGUUUCUAGGAUCGACGUAAUGAUUAAUAGGGAUAGUUGGGGGCAUUAGUAUUCAAUUGUCAGAGGUGAAAUUCUUGGAUUUAUUGAAGACUAACUACUGCGAAAGCAUGUGCCAAGGAUGUUUUCAUUAAUCAAGAACGAAAGUUAGGGGAUCGAAGACGAUCAGAUACCGUCGUAGUCUUAACCAUAAACUAUGCCGACUAGGGAUCGGAUGAUGUUAAUUUUUUAAUGACUCAUUCGGCGCCUUACG
This 499-nucleotide ribosomal RNA is filed under the name uncultured Glomus. RNAcentral's name for it is "SSU rRNA". It matches the Rfam family "Eukaryotic small subunit ribosomal RNA", at positions 591 to 1092 of the family's 1831-position model. The record is from RNAcentral. Lineage: Eukaryota; Fungi; Glomeromycota; Glomeromycetes; Glomerales; Glomeraceae.